CCUUUGCAAUAAAGUUUGACGUGGGAGAGCGCCAAGACGACCUUAAAGAUGGCGUGCUGAAGAAAAGACUUGCCUUGACGAGGAGCCACAGAGGAACGUCCUGGAAAAGACCAAACGUCCUACAAGACGCAGACACGCAUCACCAUGGCGACCGUCCACUUGCCGCCAUUUUGUCUCCCGCUAGCACGUUCCGCCAGGGCCCCCCGCGACUUUGCGCGACGUCACAACUUUGCUGAUUCUCCCGCUACCGUUCUCUGUGAGUUCACACCUGUGUGUGUGUGUGUGUGUGUGUGUGUGUGUGUGUGCGUCCCGGCUCUUUUGUUCCUUUGAUUUUUCCAAGCCACUGUUUUCCAGCAGCUUCCAAACACACGCUGACCUCGCCGUCUACGCUCCAGUAGCCGCCAUCUUGUUUCAUCUGACUGCCCUCUGUGUGUGUGUGUGUGUGUGUGUGUGUGUGCGCGCGUACAGACGUGCGCUCUAUUGUGCGAGGCCGUCGGGGGUCGUUAGCAGCUGCGAGCUGGAGAGGCUUGGUGGUCAGACGAGCUGUGGCCUAACAACAAAGAUGGUGGAACGGCGGAAUAUGACAAGACCGUUUGUAUUUUCCACAACAUGGCGGCGUGUUGUUGUAGCGCGUUGUGUAGAACGUCACGUAGAUGGCGUCUUUUUUUUGUGCUUUGUGCUAACCUCAGCAGGCUAGCUGAUGAGCAGCUCUCGUUUCCGGUACUGAAAAUGUUACGCUCAUUUCCACAAUCAUCAACGUUUGUGUGCGUUUGUGUGUAUUUGUGUGUGUUUGUGUCUCUGAGGUCUUCCCAGUACUGAUUGUCAUGGCUUCCAGAUGUCUGAUCAUACUCUGAAGACUCGGCUGUUGCCGGGCAGACUGACUUGAAAACGUCGUGAAAACAAGUGGCUACAUCAACAGCUGCUGUAGCUCAAACACAGCGGGAGAACCAAACGAGACACUGCACUGUGAUGAUCCACUUGGACCACAACCAAAGAGCCAGAGCAGAAGUCCAAAACAGAAACAUGUGUGUGUGCUUCCUGGAGGCGGAGCUUAUGCUGACAGCAGGAAGUGAUCGCUUCCAAGCGGACCAUCAAGGUGACAAGAACAUUGUUCUUGGAAAAGUUGAAGCAGGUUCCUACAAGAACACACAGAAACUUCUGGAAGGAAUGCCUCACGUGAAGAUGAUGGUGAUGGUGUCCUCCACAGGGGGUCCUAAUCCAGGAAGUGUUCCCUCAGCAGAUAGAUUAGUGGCAGGAAGUUAGUUCAGAUAGCUAGCUAGCAGAGGUCACAGUUGCAAAAGAAACAAAGAGAUGAAAAAGAAGCUCCAGAGGUCGGCAGGGGUCACACUGAAGAGCGGAGGAAAAGUGUUGGCGAGGAGCCAGAAGGACCAUUAGCAACGUUAGCACUGCUAGCGUAGCGUAGCCAUCCAAGUGCAUUCCAGCUCGCCUUUCACUCCUCAAUCUGCUUUGAACUUUUCUAUCGAGCUCAUGAGGGUCCAAAGUCCCAUCAGGAACAUCUCAGUGGUGUCAUGUGACCACAGGCAGCCACCAUGCAGCCCCCCAGACAGCCCCUAUACCUUCUCCGCCAUCAGCACUUUCCUCUUCAACAAGUCAAAACAUCACGUCAUUUCAUUCUUCUUCCUCACAACAUGCUGACAAAACAUCACUGAUACCAUAUUUUUAUUAGCGCCAGCGUGGCUAAUGCUACAUGUUUGUUAACAUGUUUAUCAGCAUCACUGUAGCUAAUGCUAUAACUUCAUUAGCAUGUUCAUCAACAUCAGUGUGGAUCAUGUCAUAUGUUUAUUAGCAUGCAUGUCAGCAUCCACAUGGCUAAUGCUAUAUAUUUAUUAGUGCCGGUGUGGCAAAUGAAUUAGCAUGUUAGCAUGUUAUUAGCACUAGUGUGACAAAUUCUAUAUGCCUUUUAGCUUUAUCCUUAUUAGCACCAAUGAGGCUAAUACUAUAUGUUUAUAAGUCAGCAUCAGUAUGUCUAAUGCUAAGUUUAUUAUGCUACAUGGGUGUUAGCACCAACGUGGCCAAUGUUAUAGGUUUACUUCCACCAGUGUGGCUAAUGCUAUAUGUUUAUUAGCAUGUUUAUUAGCACCAGCAUGGCUAAUGCUAUAUAUUUAUUAGUGCAAGUGUGGCAAAUGAAUUAGCAUGUUAGCAUGUUAUUAGCACUAGUGUGACAAAUUCUAUAUGCCUUUUAGCUUUAACCUUAUUAGCACCAAUGAGGCUAAUGCCAUAUGUUUAUUAGUCAGCAUCUGCAUAUCUAAUGCUAUAAGUUUAUUAUGCUAUAUGGGUAUUCGCACCAACGUGGCCAAUGUUAUAUGUUUACUCCCACUAGUGUGGCUAAUGCUAUAUGUUUAUUAGCAUGUUUAUUAGCACCAGCAUGGCUAAUGCUAUAUAUUUAUUAGUGCAAGUGUGGCAAAUGAAUUAGCAUGUUAGCAUGUUAUUAGCACUAGUGUGACAAAUUCUAUAUGCCUUUUAGCUUUAUCCUUAUUAGCACCAAUGAGGCUAAUACUAUAUGUUUAUAAGUCAGCAUCAGUAUGUCUAAUGCUAAGUUUAUUAUGCUAUAUGGGUGUUAGCACCAACGUGGCCAAUGUUAUAGGUUUACUUCCACCAGUGUGGCUAAUGCUAUAUGUUUAUUAGCAUGUUUAUUAGCACCAGCAUGGCUAAUGCUAUAUAUUUAUUAGUGCAAGUGUGGCAAAUGAAUUAGCAUGUUAGCAUGUUAUUAGCACUAGUGUGACAAAUUCUAUAUGCCUUUUAGCUUUAACCUUAUUAGCACCAAUGAGGCUAAUGCCAUAUGUUUAUUAGUCAGCAUCUGCAUAUCUAAUGCUAUAAGUUUAUUAUACUAUAUGGGUAUUCGCACCAACGUGGCCAAUGUUAUAUGUUUACUCCCACUAGUGUGGCUAAUGCUAUAUGUUUAUUAGCAUGUUUAUUAGCACCAGCAUGGCUAAUGCUGUAUAUUUAUUAGUGCCGGUGUGGCAAAUGAAUUAGCAUGUUAGCAUGUUAUUAGCACUAGUGUGACAAAUUCUAUAUGCCUUUUAGCUUUAUCCUUAUUAGCACCAAUGAGGCUAAUACUAUAUGUUUAUAAGUCAGCAUCAGUAUGUCUAAUGCUAAGUUUAUUA
Non-coding RNA from Doryrhamphus excisus (bluestripe pipefish), 3125 nucleotides. The record is from RefSeq and is a predicted model, not a curated record. NCBI's taxonomy places the organism in Eukaryota, Metazoa, Chordata, Actinopteri, Syngnathiformes, Syngnathidae.